GUGCCCUUGAGGCGUGGCUUCCGGAGCUAACGCGUUAAGUCGACCGCCUGGGGAGUACGGCCGCAAGGUUAAAACUCAAAUGAAUUGACGGGGGCCCGCACAAGCGGUGGAGCAUGUGGUUUAAUUCGAUGCAACGCGAAGAACCUUACCUACUCUUGACAUCCAGAGAACUUUCCAGAGAUGGAUUGGUGCCUUCGGGAACUCUGAGACAGGUGCUGCAUGGCUGUCGUCAGCUCGUGUUGUGAAAUGUUGGGUUAAGUCCCGCAACGAGCGCAACCCUUAUCCUUUGUUGCCAGCGGUCCGGCCGGGAACUCAAAGGAGACUGCCAGUGAUAAACUGGAGGAAGGUGGGGAUGACGUCAAGUCAUCAUGGCCCUUACGAGUAGGGCUACACACGUGCUACAAUGGCGCAUACAAAGAGAAGCGACCUCGCGAGAGCAAGCGGACCUCAUAAAGUGCGUCGUAGUCCGGAUUGGAGUCUGCAACUCGACUCCAUGAAGUCGGAAUCGCUAGUAAUCGUAGAUCAGAAUGCUACGGUGAAUACGUUCCCGGGCCUUGUACACACCGCCCGUCACACCAUGGGAGUGGGUUGCAAAAGAAGUAGGUAGCUUAACCUUCGGGAGGGCGCUUACCACUUUGUGAUUCAUGACUGGGGUGA
This 657-nucleotide ribosomal RNA is filed under the name Enterobacter cloacae. RNAcentral describes it as "bacterial SSU rRNA". It matches the Rfam family "Bacterial small subunit ribosomal RNA", at positions 826 to 1483 of the family's 1533-position model. The record is from RNAcentral. Lineage: Bacteria; Pseudomonadati; Pseudomonadota; Gammaproteobacteria; Enterobacterales; Enterobacteriaceae.